UGGGGAAUUUUGGACAAUGGGGGAAACCCUGAUCCAGCCAUCCCGCGUGUGCGAUGAAGGCCUUCGGGUUGUAAAGCACUUUUGGCAGGAAAGAAACGUCGCGGGUUAAUACCCCGCGAAACUGACGGUACCUGCAGAAUAAGCACCGGCUAACUACGUGCCAGCAGCCGCGGUAAUACGUAGGGUGCAAGCGUUAAUCGGAAUUACUGGGCGUAAAGCGUGCGCAGGCGGUUCGGAAAGAAAGAUGUGAAAUCCCAGAGCUUAACUUUGGAACUGCAUUUUUAACUACCGGGCUAGAGUGUGUCAGAGGGAGGUGGAAUUCCGCGUGUAGCAGUGAAAUGCGUAGAUAUGCGGAGGAACACCGAUGGCGAAGGCAGCCUCCUGGGAUAACACUGACGCUCAUGCACGAAAGCGUGGGGAGCAAACAGGAUUAGAUACCCUGUAGUCCACGCCCUAAACGAUGUCAACUAGCUGUUGGGGCCUUCGGGCCUUGGUAGCGCAGCUAACGCGUGAAGUUGACCGCCUGGGGAGU
This 532-nucleotide ribosomal RNA is filed under the name uncultured bacterium. RNAcentral describes it as "partial 16S ribosomal RNA". It matches the Rfam family "Bacterial small subunit ribosomal RNA", at positions 355 to 881 of the family's 1533-position model. The record is from RNAcentral.